GACGAACGCUGGCGGCGUGCCUAAUACAUGCAAGUCGAACGAGAGCGACCGGUGCUUGCACUGGUCAAUCUAGUGGCGAACGGGUGAGUAACACGUGGGUAACCUGCCCAUCAGAGGGGGAUAACAUCCGGAAACGGAUGCUAACACCGCAUAGGUCUUCGAGCCGCAUGGCUUGAAGAGGAAAAGAGGAGCAAGCUUCUGCUGGUGGAUGGACCCGCGGUGCAUUAGCUAGUUGGUGAGGUAACGGCGCACCAAGGCCGUGAUGCAUAGCCGACCUGCGCGGGUGAUCGGCCACAUUGGGACUGAGACACGGCCCAAACUCCUACGGGAGGCAGCAGUAGGGAAUCUUCCGAAAUGGACGCAAGUCUGACGGAGCAACGCCGCGUGAGUGAAGAAGGUUUUCGGAUCGUAAAACUCUGUUGUUAGAGAAGAACAAGUGCUAGAGUAACUGUUAGCGCCUUGACGGUACCUAACCAGAAAGCCACGGCUAACUACGUG
This 498-nucleotide ribosomal RNA is filed under the name uncultured bacterium. RNAcentral describes it as "partial 16S ribosomal RNA". It matches the Rfam family "Bacterial small subunit ribosomal RNA", at positions 28 to 507 of the family's 1533-position model. The record is from RNAcentral.